Molecule: ribosomal RNA, 395 nt
Filed under: Microbacteriaceae bacterium AR6
Lineage: Bacteria; Bacillati; Actinomycetota; Actinomycetes; Micrococcales; Microbacteriaceae
Description: bacterial SSU rRNA
Rfam family: Bacterial small subunit ribosomal RNA
Source: RNAcentral
CCUAGAAUAGGGACUCUUUGGACACUCGUGAACAGGUGGUGCAUGGUUGUCGUCAGCUCGUGUCGUGAGAUGUUGGGUUAAGUCCCGCAACGAGCGCAACCCUCGUUCUAUGUUGCCAGCGCGUAAUGGCGGGAACUCAUAGGAGACUGCCGGGGUCAACUCGGAGGAAGGUGGGGAUGACGUCAAAUCAUCAUGCCCCUUAUGUCUUGGGCUUCACGCAUGCUACAAUGGCCGGUACAAAGGGCUGCAAUACCGUAAGGUGGAGCGAAUCCCAAAAAGCCGGUCUCAGUUCGGAUUGAGGUCUGCAACUCGACCUCAUGAAGUCGGAGUCGCUAGUAAUCGCAGAUCAGCAACGCUGCGGUGAAUACGUUCCCGGGCCUUGUACACACCGCCCG